UCACUCUGGUUUCCCUUCAAAACACGCAUAAAUCUUUCGCCUUUUACUAAAGAUUUCCGUGGAGGGGAACAAUUGAUGAGUCUAUGAAAUAAUUUUUUGUGUACCCGGCGCAAGCUGGGUC
Non-coding RNA from Dufourea novaeangliae, 121 nucleotides. The record is from Rfam. NCBI's taxonomy places the organism in Eukaryota, Metazoa, Arthropoda, Insecta, Hymenoptera, Halictidae.